GAUGAACGCUGGCGGCGUGCCUAAUACAUGCAAGUCGAGCGAACGGACGAGAAGCUUGCUUCUCUGAUGUUAGCGGCGGACGGGUGAGUAACACGUGGAUAACCUACCUAUAAGACUGGGAUAACUUCGGGAAACCGGAGCUAAUACCGGAUAAUAUUUUGAACCUCAUGGUUCAAAAGUGAAAGACGGUCUUGCUGUCACUUAUAGAUGGAUCCGCGCUGCAUUAGCUAGUUGGUAAGGUAACGGCUUACCAAGGCAACGAUGCAUAGCCGACCUGAGAGGGUGAUCAGCCACACUGGAACUGAGACACGGUCCAGACUCCUACGGGAGGCAGCAGUAGGGAAUCUUCCGCAAUGGGCGAAAGCCUGACGGAGCAACGCCACGUGAGUGAUGAAGGUCUUCGGAUCGUAAAACUCUGUUAGUAGGGAAGAACAUAUGUGUAAGUAACUGUGCACAUCUUGACGGUACCUAAUCAGAAAGCAACGGCUAACUACGUG
RNAcentral lists this ribosomal RNA (497 nucleotides) under uncultured bacterium. RNAcentral's name for it is "partial 16S ribosomal RNA". It matches the Rfam family "Bacterial small subunit ribosomal RNA", at positions 28 to 507 of the family's 1533-position model. The record is from RNAcentral.